RNAcentral lists this small RNA (553 nucleotides) under Pongo abelii (Sumatran orangutan). RNAcentral's name for it is "processed transcript". Lineage: Eukaryota; Metazoa; Chordata; Mammalia; Primates; Hominidae. The record is from RNAcentral.
AGGUGCUGCGCUGGGCGCCGCGGGAUGCCGAGCUGAUCGAGCCCUGGAGGCCCAGCCUGGGCGAGCUGCUGGCCAGGCCCGAGGCUCUGACGCCCAGCAACCUAUUCCUGCUUGCAGUCCUCGGGGCCCUCGCAUCAGCGAGUGCGACAGUGUUGGCGUGGAUGUUCUUUCGAUGGUACUGCAGUGGCAACUAACAAAGAUGGAGUCUCAUUCUGUCACCCAGGCUGGAGUGCAGUGGCAUGAUCUCAGCCCACUGCAACCUCUGCCUCCCAGGUUCUAGUGAUUGUCCUGCCUCAGCCUCCUGAGUAGCUGGGAUUACAGGCACAUGCCACCAUGCCUGGCUAAUUUUUUUGUAUUUUUACUAGAGAUGGGGUUUCGCCAUGUUGGCCACACUGGUCUCAAACUCGUGACCUCAAGUGGUUUCCCAGCCUCGGCCUCCCAAAGUGCUGGGAUUACAGGUGUGAGCCACCGUGCCCAGUCUAAUUGUACAGUUUGACUGAGUGAACUCUGUGUGAGAUAAAUUGGAGACAAAUAUGGACAACUCUCCCAAGGA